RNAcentral lists this ribosomal RNA (117 nucleotides) under Escherichia coli. Its description in RNAcentral is "partial 16S ribosomal RNA". It matches the Rfam family "Bacterial small subunit ribosomal RNA", at positions 1423 to 1533 of the family's 1533-position model. Lineage: Bacteria; Pseudomonadati; Pseudomonadota; Gammaproteobacteria; Enterobacterales; Enterobacteriaceae. The record is from RNAcentral.
GAAGGUGCUGUGCUAACCGCAAGGAGGCAGGCAACCACGGUAGGGUCAGCGACUGGGGUGAAGUCGUAACAAGGUAGCCGUAGGGGAACCUGCGGCUGGAUCACCUCCUUUCUAAGG